UAGAUACAAGUCGGAAUUAGGGUGAGUUUAGGGCCCAAGAUCCAAGUGAUGACUAGUAUGAGAUACCCGUAUAUAACAACGGGUCGGGUAUGGGUAAUACGCGAGGUACCCAUAAUUUAUUUUUGAAAAAUCAAACCAGGUUUGAGCAUCGCUGCGAGCUGCGACCAUCUUCGUAAGUUCCACCUUGUCUCCUCUCUCUCCAAUUCUUCUAUCUCAACCUCGCCGGAGAUCCGGUUCUCCGGCAUCUUUCUCGGGUCGUGGAUCCAUGAAUUGGGUUCAACGUAAGAUCUAUCUUUACAAUGUCACUUUUGGGCUCUAUAUGUUGGAUUGGUGGGAGCGUUAUCUCUUCAAUACUUUGGUCCUGGUAUUGAUGUGGUUCAUCUUUUACAACGGCUCGCGGUAUUUAACAGAGUUUUGCAAGAGGCAGCUAUGGUGAGGACUGCAAAAAACAUCAACCUGUAAUGUUCAAAUUUGUGAAGUGAUUGAGGAUUUGAAUGCAGCUGCAGCUUUUUUUUUUUAUUUUUUUUUUAU
This is an RNA transcript of Fragaria vesca subsp. vesca, 531 nucleotides long. RefSeq lists it as uncharacterized. NCBI's taxonomy places the organism in Eukaryota, Viridiplantae, Streptophyta, Magnoliopsida, Rosales, Rosaceae. The transcript has 4 exons. The record is from RefSeq and is a predicted model, not a curated record.